GCCGGAGUGGUGGAAUGGCAGACACAGGGGACUCAAAAUCCCCCGCUCGCAAGGGCAUGAGGGUUCGAAUCCCUCCUCCGGCACCA
This 86-nucleotide transfer RNA is filed under the name Acidobacteriota bacterium. RNAcentral describes it as "tRNA-Leu". It matches the Rfam family "tRNA". From Rfam's summary of the family: Transfer RNA (tRNA) molecules are approximately 80 nucleotides in length. Their secondary structure includes four short double-helical elements and three loops (D, anti-codon, and T loops). Further hydrogen bonds mediate the characteristic L-shaped molecular structure. tRNAs have two regions of fundamental functional importance: the anti-codon, which is responsible for specific mRNA codon recognition, and the 3' end, to which the tRNAs corresponding amino acid is attached (by aminoacyl-tRNA synthetases). tRNAs cope with the degeneracy of the genetic code in two manners: having more than one tRNA (with a specific anti-codon) for a particular amino acid; and 'wobble' base-pairing, i.e. permitting non-standard base-pairing at the 3rd anti-codon position. Lineage: Bacteria; Pseudomonadati; Acidobacteriota. RNAcentral also lists the same sequence under 2 other names. The record is from RNAcentral.